UGAGUAUCAAUGAUGAAGUUUCUCUGCUGCAUGAGGCUGAGUACUCUGUGCGGAUACCAACCUUGGAGAACUGAGGACUCA
Molecule: small nucleolar RNA, 81 nt
Organism: Cuculus canorus (common cuckoo)
Lineage: Eukaryota; Metazoa; Chordata; Aves; Cuculiformes; Cuculidae
Source: RefSeq, a predicted model, not a curated record